RNAcentral lists this ribosomal RNA (408 nucleotides) under uncultured prokaryote. Its description in RNAcentral is "partial 16S ribosomal RNA". The record is from RNAcentral.
CCCUCUGGGGUGCCGCCCCGGUCAAUGACGAUAUUUCUCUGCUGUACUUUACCUCCGGCACCACGGGCAUGCCGAAGAUGGUCCGGCAUGAUUUCGUCUAUCCCCUGGGGCACAUCCUGACCGCCAAAUUCUGGCAGAGCGUCAUGGAUGGCGGCAUACACCUGACCAUUGCCGAUACCGGAUGGGCCAAGGCGGUCUGGGGGAAGAUAUACGGCCAGUGGCUGAGCGGUGGCAUCGUCUUCGUAGAUGACUACGACAAAUUCUCGCCGCGCAACCUCCUGGAUGUCAUUGCCCGAUACGGCAUCAACACAUUCUGUGCGCCUCCCACCAUCUAUCGCUUUCUCAUCAAGGAGGACUUCUCUCCGUUCGACCUGUCGAAGCUCAAGUAUUGCGUGAUUGCGGGGGAGC